UUUAUUUGAGAGUUUGAUCCUGGCUCAGGAUGAACGCUGGCGGCGUGCCUAACACAUGCAAGUUGAGCGAUUUACUUCGGUAAAGAGCGGCGGACGGGUGAGUAACGCGUGGGUAACCUACCCUGUACACACGGAUAACAUACCGAAAGGUAUGCUAAUACGGGAUAACAUAUUUGAGAGGCAUCUCUUAAAUAUCAAAGGUGAGCCAGUACAGGAUGGACCCGCGUCUGAUUAGCUAGUUGGUAAGGUAACGGCUUACCAAGGCGACGAUCAGUAGCCGACCUGAGAGGGUGAUCGGCCACAUUGGAACUGAGACACGGUCCAAACUCCU
This 331-nucleotide ribosomal RNA is filed under the name Clostridioides difficile. RNAcentral's name for it is "bacterial SSU rRNA". It matches the Rfam family "Bacterial small subunit ribosomal RNA", at positions 1 to 340 of the family's 1533-position model. The record is from RNAcentral. Lineage: Bacteria; Bacillati; Bacillota; Clostridia; Peptostreptococcales; Peptostreptococcaceae.